CAGGCAUGCUGGAGCCCCGCAGCGGCGCCUGGGAACUUGAACCCGACACCGUAACCCAUACCGGGGCUUAU
Regulatory RNA element from Hoeflea phototrophica DFL-43, 71 nucleotides. It matches the Rfam family "ybhL leader". Rfam says of the family: This family is a putative regulatory RNA structure that is found upstream of an uncharacterized membrane protein in alpha-proteobacteria. NCBI's taxonomy places the organism in Bacteria, Pseudomonadati, Pseudomonadota, Alphaproteobacteria, Hyphomicrobiales, Rhizobiaceae. The record is from Rfam.